Molecule: ribosomal RNA, 497 nt
Filed under: uncultured bacterium
Lineage: Bacteria
Description: partial 16S ribosomal RNA
Rfam family: Bacterial small subunit ribosomal RNA
Source: RNAcentral
GAUGAACGCUGGCGGCGUGCCUAAUACAUGCAAGUAGAACGCUGAAGGAAGGAGCUUGCUCUUUCCGGAUGAGUUGCGAACGGGUGAGUAACGCGUAGGUAACCUGCCUGGUAGCGGGGGAUAACUAUUGGAAACGAUAGCUAAUACCGCAUAACAGUAGAUGUUGCAUGAUAUCUACUUAAAAGGUGCAAUUGCACCACUACCAGAUGGACCUGCGUUGUAUUAGCUAGUUGGUGAGGUAACGGCUCACCAAGGCGACGAUACAUAGCCGACCUGAGAGGGUGAUCGGCCACACUGGGACUGAGACACGGCCCAGACUCCUACGGGAGGCAGCAGGAGGGAAGCUUCGGCAAUGGACGGAAGUCUGACCGAGCAACGCCGCGGGAGGGAAGAAGGGUUUCGGAUCGUAAAGCUCUGUUGUAAGAGAAGAACGAGUGUGAGAGUGGAAAGUUCACACUGUGACGGUAUCUUACCUGAAAGGGACGGCUAACUACGUG